CGCCGGCGGGCGCCGGCCGGGCCUGCAGAGCGGAAGACAAAGCCCCAUACGCUCGAGGACCGGACGCGGUGCCGCCGCUGCCUUUCGGGCCCGUCCCCCGGAACCGGGGGACGAGGACCCAACACACAAGCCGGGCUUGAGGGCAGCAAUGACGCUCGGACAGGCAUGCCCCCCGGAAUACCAGGGGGCGCAAUGUGCGUUCAAAGACUCGAUGAUUCACUGAAUUCUGCAAUUCACAUUAGUUAUCGCAUUUCGCUGCGUUCUUCAUCGAUGCCGGAACCAAGAGAUCCAUUGUUGAAAGUUUUAACUGAUUGCAAAGAAUCACACUCAGACUGCAAGCUUUCAGAACAGGGUUCAUGUUGGGGUCUCCGGCGGGCACGGGCCCGGGGGCGAGACGCCCCCCGGCGGCCAGCAGGGCUGGCGGGCCCGCCGAAGCAACAAGGUACAAUAGUCACGGGUGGGAGGUUGGGCCACGAGGACCCGCACUCG
Molecule: unclassified non-coding RNA, 489 nt
Filed under: Aspergillus terreus
Lineage: Eukaryota; Fungi; Ascomycota; Eurotiomycetes; Eurotiales; Aspergillaceae
Description: sequence contains 18S rRNA gene, ITS1, 5.8S rRNA gene, ITS2, 28S rRNA gene
Source: RNAcentral